UGGGGAAUUUUGGACAAUGGGCGCAAGCCUGAUCCAGCCAUGCCGCGUGCAGGAUGAAGGCCUUCGGGUUGUAAACUGCUUUUGUACGGAACGAAAAGGUGCCUUCUAAUAAAGGGCGCUCAUGACGGUACCGUAAGAAUAAGCACCGGCUAACUACGUGCCAGCAGCCGCGGUAAUACGUAGGGUGCGAGCGUUAAUCGGAAUUACUGGGCGUAAAGCGUGCGCAGGCGGUUUUGUAAGACAGAGGUGAAAUCCCCGGGCUCAACCUGGGAACUGCCUUUGUGACUGCAAGGCUGGAGUGCAGCAGAGGGUGAUGGAAUUCCGCGUGUAGCAGUGAAAUGCGUAGAUAUGCGGAGGAACACCGAUGGCGAAGGCAAUCCCCUGGGCCUGCACUGACGCUCAUGCACGAAAGCGUGGGGAGCAAACA
RNAcentral lists this ribosomal RNA (427 nucleotides) under uncultured bacterium. Its description in RNAcentral is "bacterial SSU rRNA". It matches the Rfam family "Bacterial small subunit ribosomal RNA", at positions 355 to 774 of the family's 1533-position model. The record is from RNAcentral.